AUUGAACGCUGGCGGCAUGCCUUACACAUGCAAGUCGAACGGCAGCACGGAGCUUGCUCUGGUGGCGAGUGGCGAACGGGUGAGUAAUAUAUCGGAACGUACCCUAGAGUGGGGGAUAACGUAGCGAAAGUUACGCUAAUACCGCAUACGAUCUAAGGAUGAAAGUGGGGGAUCGCAAGACCUCAUGCUCGUGGAGCGGCCGAUAUCUGAUUAGCUAGUUGGUAGGGUAAAAGCCUACCAAGGCAUCGAUCAGUAGCUGGUCUGAGAGGACGGCCAGCCACACUGGAACUGAGACACGGUCCAGACUCCUACGGGAGGCAGCAGUGGGGAAUUUUGGACAAUGGGCGAAAGCCUGAUCCAGCAAUGCCGCGUGAGUGAAGAAGGCCUUCGGGUUGUAAAGCUCUUUUGUCAGGGAAGAAACGGUGAAAGCUAAUAUCUUUUGCUAAUGACGGUACCUGAAGAAUAAGCACCGGCUAACUACGUGCCAGCAGCCGCGGUAAUACGUAGGGUGCAAGCGUUAAUCGGAAUUACUGGGCGUAAAGCGUGCGCAGGCGGUUUUGUAAGUCUGAUGUGAAAUCCCCGGGCUCAACCUGGGAAUUGCAUUGGAGACUGCAAGGCUAGAAUCUGGCAGAGGGGGGUAGAAUUCCACGUGUAGCAGUGAAAUGCGUAGAUAUGUGGAGGAACACCGAUGGCGAAGGCAGCCCCCUGGGUCAAGAUUGACGCUCAUGCACGAAAGCGUGGGGAGCAAACAGGAUUAGAUACCCUGGUAGUCCACGCCCUAAACGAUGUCUACUAGUUGUCGGGUCUUAAUUGACUUGGUAACGCAGCUAACGCGUGAAGUAGACCGCCUGGGGAGUACGGUCGCAAGAUUAAAACUCAAAGGAAUUGACGGGGACCCGCACAAGCGGUGGAUGAUGUGGAUUAAUUCGAUGCAACGCGAAAAACCUUACCUACCCUUGACAUGGCUGGAAUCCUUGAGAGAUCAGGGAGUGCUCGAAAGAGAACCAGUACACAGGUGCUGCAUGGCUGUCGUCAGCUCGUGUCGUGAGAUGUUGGGUUAAGUCCCGCAACGAGCGCAACCCUUGUCAUUAGUUGCUACGAAAGGGCACUCUAAUGAGACUGCCGGUGACAAACCGGAGGAAGGUGGGGAUGACGUCAAGUCCUCAUGGCCCUUAUGGGUAGGGCUUCACACGUCAUACAAUGGUACAUACAGAGCGCCGCCAACCCGCGAGGGGGAGCUAAUCGCAGAAAGUGUAUCGUAGUCCGGAUUGUAGUCUGCAACUCGACUGCAUGAAGUUGGAAUCGCUAGUAAUCGCGGAUCAGCAUGUCGCGGUGAAUACGUUCCCGGGUCU
This 1352-nucleotide ribosomal RNA is filed under the name uncultured bacterium. RNAcentral's name for it is "bacterial SSU rRNA". It matches the Rfam family "Bacterial small subunit ribosomal RNA", at positions 28 to 1381 of the family's 1533-position model. The record is from RNAcentral.